UACGUAGGGAGCAAGCGUUGUCCGGAAUCAUUGGGCGUAAAGCGCGCGUAGGUGGCCCCAUAAGUCCGCUGUGAAAGUCAAAGGCUCAACCUUUGAAAGCCGGUGGAUACUGUGAGGCUAGAGUACGGAAGGGGCGAGUGGAAUUCCUGGUGUAGCGGUGGAAUGCGCAGAUAUCAGGAGGAACACCAAUAGCGAAGGCAGCUCGCUGGGACGUUACUGACACUGAGGCGCGAAAGCGUGGGGAGCGAACAGG
RNAcentral lists this ribosomal RNA (253 nucleotides) under uncultured bacterium. RNAcentral's name for it is "partial 16S ribosomal RNA". It matches the Rfam family "Bacterial small subunit ribosomal RNA", at positions 524 to 776 of the family's 1533-position model. The record is from RNAcentral.